AUGAACGGUAUAUUUUGGAACUGCAGGGGAGCAGGUAAGAAAGGGAUGACUACCUGCUCCGCUGAUAUAAUAAAAGAUCAUUCCCUGGACUUCCUUGGUAUCCAGGAAACUAAGAAGAAGAAUUUCACCCCUAAACUCCUUAGAAAAAUUGACCCUCUUGAUAAGUUCAAUUGGAACUGGAUCCCUUCGAUUGGUAAGUCUGGAGGCAUAUUGUGUGGGACUAGGAGAGAAACCUUGGAGAUUAUUUCCUGGUCGGGGGGUGAAUUCCUUAUGCAGACUACUGUCUUUGAUGUGAACCUCAAAUGUGUGUGGACCCUAGUGGUGGUAUAUGGGGCAGCCCAAAAAGAGAGAAAAAAUGAUUUCCUUGCAGAAUUGGCUACGACAUGUGCGACGAUUAGUAUUCCUUAUGUGGUUGGUGGUGAUUUUAAUAUCUUAUGUGAAAGUGGUGACAAGAAUAAAAAAUUAACCUACUCCCAAAAUACAGAUAGCUUCAACGUCAGUCCCUGA
Molecule: ribosomal RNA, 507 nt
Filed under: Triticum aestivum (bread wheat)
Lineage: Eukaryota; Viridiplantae; Streptophyta; Magnoliopsida; Poales; Poaceae
Description: partial small subunit ribosomal RNA
Source: RNAcentral